This 1073-nucleotide ribosomal RNA is filed under the name uncultured bacterium. RNAcentral's name for it is "bacterial SSU rRNA". It matches the Rfam family "Bacterial small subunit ribosomal RNA", at positions 404 to 1502 of the family's 1533-position model. The record is from RNAcentral.
AUCGAUAAAGACUCUCAUUGGUAGGAAAGAUCGGGUGUGGAGAGUGGAAAGUCACACCAGUGACGGUACUUAACAGAAAAGGGACGGCUAGCUACGUGCCAGCAGCCGCGGUAAUACGUAGGUCCCGAGCGUUGUCCGGAUUUAUUGGGCGUAAAGCGAGCGCAGGCGGUUAGAUAAGUCUGAAGUGAAAGGCAGUGGCUCAGUCAUUGUAGGCUUUGGAAACUGUUUAACUUGAGUGCAGAAGGGGAGAGUGGAAUUCCAUGUGUAGCGGUGAAAUGCGUAGAUAUAUGGAGGAACACCGGUGGCGAAAGCGGCUCUCUGGUCUGUAACUGACGCUGAGGCUCGAAAGCGUGGGGAGCGAACAGGAUUAGAUACCCUGGUAGUCCACGCCGUAAACGAUGAGUGCUAGGUGUUAGGUCCUUUCCGGGACUUAGUGCCGCAGCUAACGCAUUAAGCACUCCGCCUGGGGAGUACGACCGCAAGGUUGAAACUCAAAGGAAUUGACGGGGGCCCGCACAAGUGGUGGAGCAUGUGGUUUAAUUCGAAGCAACGCGAAGAACCUUACCAGGUCUUGACAUCCCGAUGCCCGCUCUAGAGAUAGAGCUUUACUUCGGUACAUCGGUGACAGGUGGUGCAUGGUUGUCGUCAGCUCGUGUCGUGAGAUGUUGGGUUAAGUCCCGCAACGAGCGCAACCCUUAUUGUUAGUUGCCAUCAUUCAGUUGGGCACUCUAGCGAGACUGCCGCGGAGAACGCGGAGGAAGGUGGGGAUGACGUCAAAUCAUCAUGCCCCUUAUGACCUGGGCUACACACGUGCUACAAUGGCUGGUACAACGAGUCGCAAGCCGGUGACGGCAAGCUAAUCUCUGAAAGCCAGUCUCAGUUCGGAUUGUAGGCUGCGGCUCGCCUACAUGAAGUCGGAAUCGCUAGUAAUCGCGGAUCAGCACGCCGCGGUGAAUACGUUCCCGGGCCUUGCACACACCGCCCGUCACACCACGGAAGUCGUUCACGCCCGAAGCCGGCGCGGCCGUCUAAGGUGGGGAAGGUGUCUGAGUGAAGUCGUAACAAGGUAGCCG